RNAcentral lists this long non-coding RNA (391 nucleotides) under Scleropages formosus (Asian bonytongue). Its description in RNAcentral is "lncRNA (ENSSFOG00015024996.1)". Lineage: Eukaryota; Metazoa; Chordata; Actinopteri; Osteoglossiformes; Osteoglossidae. The record is from RNAcentral.
CAAGGGACAGAAGAGGACAUCUCUGGUCAAUGACUAAGCAGAGUCGCAGAGAUGUUGAGAGUAACCAUGGGCUUUAUUCAAAAGAUGGCAUGAGAUGCACAUCCCCAGAUUAUCUGCCAACCUGGGUUGAAAAGAGAGCGGCCACAAGAAGGAAUGACUCUGGCAGAGCAGCUGCAUUACAAUGUUCUGCUUCCUACUGUGACAAGACAGUCCAACACUGAAAAGUCCAAACUUCACACUCGGUUGGAGAAGGACACCUUUACCUCACUAUUGCACUGCACGCAGGGUUUCUAGCAAGCAGAGAGAAGGUAUGUUACAAAUUUGUGUCUGUACAUUUUUCCCUGUCCAAAGAGCACCCAAUAGUUGUACAGUCAAGCAAACAACAAGAGAC